Molecule: ribosomal RNA, 460 nt
Filed under: uncultured bacterium
Lineage: Bacteria
Description: partial 16S ribosomal RNA
Rfam family: Bacterial small subunit ribosomal RNA
Source: RNAcentral
CCUACGGGUGGCAGCAGUGAGGAAUAUUGGUCAAUGGCCGGAAGGCUGAACCAGCCAAGUAGCGUGAGGGAAGACUGCCCUAUGGGUUGUAAACCUCUUUUAUGCGGGGAUAAAGGUGUCCACGUGUGUAUGUUUGCAGGUACCGCACGAAUAAGGACCGGCUAAUUCCGUGCCAGCAGCCGCGGUAAUACGGAAGGUCCGGGCGUUAUCCGGAUUUAUUGGGUUUAAAGGGAGCGUAGGCGGGUCGUUAAGCGUGCCGUGAAAUUUUGUGGCUCAACGAUGCGAGUGCGGCGAGAACUGGAGACCUUGAGUGCGCGGGAGGCAGGCGGAAUUCGUGGUGUAGCGGUGAAAUGCUUAGAGAUCACGAAGAACAGCGAUGGCGAAGGCAGCCUGCCGCAGCGUUACUGACGCUGAGGCUCGAAAGCGCGGGUAGCGAACAGGAUUAGAUACCCGAGUAGUC